RNAcentral lists this ribosomal RNA (277 nucleotides) under uncultured bacterium. RNAcentral's name for it is "partial 16S ribosomal RNA". It matches the Rfam family "Bacterial small subunit ribosomal RNA", at positions 28 to 306 of the family's 1533-position model. The record is from RNAcentral.
GAUAAACGCUGGCGGCGUGCCUAACACAUGCAAGUCGAACGCCCUGUUCUUCUUCGGAGGAAGAGGGAGUGGCGGACGGGUGAGUAACACGUGGGCAAUCUACCCACAGGUGAGGAAUACCGGCGAGAAAUCGCCGACAAUACCGCAUACGCUCUCGUGAGAGAGCAAAGCCUCGCGUAAGCGAAGCGCCUGGGGAUGAGCCUGCGCCCGAUUAGCUGGUUGGUGGGGUAAAAGCCUACCAAGGCGACGAUCGGUAGCUGGUCUGAGAGGAUGAGCA